RNAcentral lists this ribosomal RNA (771 nucleotides) under uncultured Neocallimastigales. RNAcentral's name for it is "partial large subunit ribosomal RNA". It matches the Rfam family "Eukaryotic large subunit ribosomal RNA", at positions 24 to 625 of the family's 3401-position model. The record is from RNAcentral. Lineage: Eukaryota; Fungi; Neocallimastigomycota; Neocallimastigomycetes; Neocallimastigales.
UACGACUACAUAUCAGGCAUAUCAAUAAGCGGAGGAAAAGAAACUAACAAGGAUUCCCUAGUAACGGCGAGUGAAGCGAGAAGAGCUCAAAUUUGAAAUCUUAAAGGUUUCCCUUGACGAAUUGUAGUUUAAAGAAGUGUUUUCUGUUAGAGGUUCGUAGCAAAGUUCUUGGAAUAGGACAUCAUAGAGGGUGAGAAUCCCGUAUUUGACCGUUAUUUUCUAGCUUUGUGAUACACUUUCAAAGAGUCGGAUUGUUUGGGAAUGCAGUCCAAAAUGGGUGGUAAAUUUCAUCUAAAGCUAAAUAUUGGCGAGAGACCGAUAGCGAACAAGUACCGUGAGGGAGAGAUGAAAAGAACUUUGAAAAGAGAGUUAAACAGUACGUGAAAUUGUCAAAAGGGAAGCGUUUGACACCAGUGUUGUUUUUCGAAAAUCAAUUCAAUAGUUUUUGAUUCUAAGUAGUAUUGACUUCAUCAGCUUGCUGCUUUCUUCUCAGAAAUUAUUGAAUGCACUUUUCAGUUAACAAGUCAACAUCAAUUUCUUUUGUUGUAAAAGGGUAAGAGGAAGGUGGCUUGCGCUUCGGCUCAAGUGUUUAUAGCCUUAUACCUCUACAAUCGGAGAGAUUGAGGUCUGCAGCGUAGAUCCUUCGGGGCUAGAUACACUUGUGCUAAGUUAUAGCUUUUCAUAGACAACUUGUUGACUAUGUUUAGUCAUGUAGCUUACCCGCUUGUGCUAUUUUACCUACGCUUAGGAUGUUGAUCUACAGAGCGAGAG